Molecule: ribosomal RNA, 740 nt
Filed under: Tricholoma sejunctum
Lineage: Eukaryota; Fungi; Basidiomycota; Agaricomycetes; Agaricales; Tricholomataceae
Description: partial small subunit ribosomal RNA
Rfam family: Bacterial small subunit ribosomal RNA
Source: RNAcentral
AAUCAUAUGACUCAUUAAUAUGGUGAUUAUGAUAACAUAAGGGAAAAAAAUGAUAUUACCUUAUUAUUAGUGUUGUCCAAAACUGGUGCCAGAAGACUCGGUAAGACCAGAGACGCAAACGUUAGUCAUCUUAAUCAGGCGUAAAGGGUUUGUAGGCUGCUUUAAAAUUUUAAAUCUUUGUAAUAGCUCUUUUACCGUAAUGCUAUAUUUAUUUAUUUGAUUUGAUUUGAUAAUAAAUAAUAUAAUAUAUAAAUUUUAUUAUAUAAAAUAAUAAAUGAUAUUAAAUAAAUAUUCGUGUAUCAGUAAAGAAAUAAAUGAAUUAAAGCUAGGAUCAAAUUGAGGAUAAACCAAAUAAUACUUAGAGUAGGGCUUAUAUCCGUAGAUACUAAGGGGAAUACUAAAGGUGAAAACUUUUUAUCUACUAUUGAUUGACGCUGAGAAACGAAGGUGAGAAUAGGAAAUAGGAUUAGAUACCCAGAUACCUCUCACUGUCAACGAUGAAUGGUGGUUUGUUAGUUUUAAUAAAAACUGGUAACGAUGUUAACACGAUAACCAUUCCGCCUUGCGAGUACGGUUGCAAAACUGAAACCAAAAAAAUUAGUCGGUUUCGAAGCAAACGAAGUGAGCAUGUUAUUUAAUACGAGAGUACUUGUAUAUCCAAUUAUGUUCUUAGUUAAUUCUAAGUUCUUUUUAAUAAGAAAAACAGAUUGAUUUUUAUAAUAUUUAAAAAUUCGUUUACA